This 451-nucleotide ribosomal RNA is filed under the name uncultured bacterium. RNAcentral describes it as "partial 16S ribosomal RNA". It matches the Rfam family "Bacterial small subunit ribosomal RNA", at positions 29 to 523 of the family's 1533-position model. The record is from RNAcentral.
AGCGAACGCUGGCGGCAGGCUUAACACAUGCAAGUCGAGCGGGCAUCUUCGGGUGUCAGCGGCGGACGGGUGAGUAACGCGUGGGAACGUGCCUUCUGGUUCGGAAUAACUCAGGGAAACUUGAGCUAAUACCGGAUACGCCCUUUUGGGGAAAGGUUUACUGCCGGAAGAUCGGCCCGCGUCUGAUUAGCUAGUUGGUGGGGUAACGGCCUACCAAGGCGACGAUCAGUAGCUGGUCUGAGAGGAUGAUCAGCCACACUGGGACUGAGACACGGCCCAGACUCCUACGGGAGGCAGCAGUGGGGAAUAUUGGACAAUGGGCGCAAGCCUGAUCCUGCCAUGCCGCGUGAGUGAUGAAGGCCUUAGGGUUGUAAAGCUCUUUUAUCCGGGACGAUAAUGACGGUACCGGAGGAAUAAGCCCCGGCUAACUUCGUGCCAGCCGCCGCCGUAA